Long non-coding RNA from Cyprinus carpio carpio, 1372 nucleotides. Lineage: Eukaryota; Metazoa; Chordata; Actinopteri; Cypriniformes; Cyprinidae. The record is from Ensembl.
CUCGAUCUGACUCUCUUCUGCUGGACUUCGGAGAAAUGAUGCUCAUCUUUGUGCCGCUGCUGCUGCUGCAAACUGCUGCAUAUGUGGAAAAUGCCUCGACGGGCCCUCAGGAGAAGAAGGAGCAAGAGCAAGAGCUUCAUUAUGGAGAAGUGAUGUUCACCAACAAAAUUGUUCAACAGCAGCCGUAUAAAACACAGGAGGAGUGUUUGUACGCUCAGGUGUAGCCGCGUUAGUGUGAAAACUACCACAAGACCACCUGCAGUCAAUGCAUAGUGUGACUUCACACUUCACUGACAUGAAGACACAACAGGACAGCUUUUAGCUGCUUGUGAUGAAAUGCUCGGCUUAGUGCACAUUUUCUUUCCUGUGUGGCAACAGAAAAAUACAGCGUCUGAUCCAGAACAGAAAUAUAAAAAGAUGAACUCUGAUUGACUUUCCAAUAAAGCCACUGAAGGGAAUCACGACUGCUGUGAACAAUUAAUUACUUUUUUACAUAUAUAAAAUGUCAUUCUAUGACAUACUUUGUUUGUAUUCUGUUUCCUUGUGCUGCCUUCCAUCCCAGAUAGCACACGUACGUCUGCAAGAUGUCUGUUAAAGAUUGCUUGAUCUGGAAAGCAUCUACUGUGUACAAACGUCUGACAGAUGUCUUUCAGAUGUCCGUUUUACAUACAUUCUAAAUCAUAAACAUCUUAAAGACAUCUAAUAUACGUCUGUCUGUUUGACAUCUGAUAGGAAACGUCCAAUACACGUAUUGCAGAUGAGCAAACAUUCUAAAGGCCCCGGUAUACUUCAAACGAAGUUCGUUUUCGUUCUUCGUUUGGGGGCAAAAAGAAGUUUGAAAAGGCUGAGCGACGGUAUACUGUUUUCGAACAUUCCGACACCCCCGCGCUGCUGGAGGCGGGUGUAGAUUAAUGUAAACAUGUGUCGCAAUGCUCAAGCCUAUCCCCUAAACACAACAACGAUGUGUAGGCAAUCUAGGUGUGAGAUGGGCACCAAUGGUCAGAAUAUUAUAGACAAAAGAAUAAUGAUUAGCAGCAGUUCAGAGUCAAGUAUCAUGUUUGCAAUGCAAAAGAACCAUAAUCAGUCCUUUAUGGAAAGUGUGAACGUCUCAUAAUCUGUAAAACUUUAGCAUGAUGUGGAAAAACAUUAUUGGAGUCAGUUUGUUACUGUAUUUUAUUAUUUAUUGUUACACCUUUUUAUAUUUUAUGUGGUGUCAUGAUUUACUUUUGAUAAAAACAAAGGUUUAUUAUUAUAUGUUCGUUUGGUGUUUCAUUUAUUGUAUACCCUUUAAAUUUGCUUAUUGAAAGAACAACAGCAGCAGUAUGGUGUAAUAUUUAUUUGAAACAUGUAUUUGGUACUUGCUACCUUAUAU